RNAcentral lists this ribosomal RNA (301 nucleotides) under uncultured bacterium. RNAcentral describes it as "partial 16S ribosomal RNA". It matches the Rfam family "Bacterial small subunit ribosomal RNA", at positions 509 to 807 of the family's 1533-position model. The record is from RNAcentral.
CAGCCGCCGCGGGAAUACGUAGGGUGCGAGCGUUAAUCGGAAUUACUGGGCGUAAAGCGUGCGCGGGCGGCUUUGUAAGACAGGCGUGAAAUCCCCGGGCUCAACCUGGGAAUGGCGCUUGUGACUGCAAAACUAGAGUGCGGCAGAGGGGGAUGGAAUUCCGCGUGUAGCAGUGAAAUGCGUAGAUAUGCGGAGGAACACCGAUGGCGAAGGCAAUCCCCUGGGCCUGCACUGACGCUCAUGCACGAAAGCGUGGGGAGCAAACAGGAUUAGAUACCCCGGUAGUCCCUGUCUCUUAUAC